Molecule: long non-coding RNA, 186 nt
Organism: Etheostoma cragini (Arkansas darter)
Lineage: Eukaryota; Metazoa; Chordata; Actinopteri; Perciformes; Percidae
Exons: 3
Source: RefSeq, a predicted model, not a curated record
ACUGCUGUUAUCUAAUGGUUGGGUAUUUGAUGCUAUCAUGUAUUCCAUGGAUUCGGGCCAUCUCAUCCUCCUGCGCUCCGUAGCGGACAAUGUGACGGUGAGACAGCGUUGCUUAAAUAUUAAGAACAAAUUUUUUUUUAGGCUUUGAGUUGGAUUUUACAAGGUGUCCAUUGAACAAUAAUCACU